This 423-nucleotide ribosomal RNA is filed under the name uncultured bacterium. Its description in RNAcentral is "bacterial SSU rRNA". It matches the Rfam family "Bacterial small subunit ribosomal RNA", at positions 355 to 775 of the family's 1533-position model. The record is from RNAcentral.
UGAGGAAUAUUGGUCAAUGGGCGCAAGCCUGAACCAGCCAUCCCGCGUGAAGGAAGAAGGCCCUACGGGUUGUAAACUUCUUUUCUGUUUGAAGAAUAAGCUUGUCGAGACAAGUGAUGCCGGUAGGACAGGAAUAAGCAUCGGCUAACUCCGUGCCAGCAGCCGCGGUAAUACGGAGGAUGCAAGCGUUAUCCGGAUUUAUUGGGUUUAAAGGGUGCGCAGGUGGUUGAAUAAGUCAGUGGUGAAAGUCUGGCGCUUAACGUUAGGAUUGCCAUUGAUACUGUUUGACUUGAAUAUGGAUGAGGUAGGCGGAAUGUGUAGUGUAGCGGUGAAAUGCUUAGAUAUUACACAGAACACCGAUUGCGAAGGCAGCUUACUAAUCCAUUAUUGACGCUGAGGCACGAAAGCGUGGGGAUCAAACAG